AGGUUUUUUCUUUAAUUUUUUUAAAUUUUUGUCAUUUAAUUUAUUUUUAAUUCACUACAAAUUCAAAUUUUUCAUACAAAAUAUUUAUAUUUAACGUGUUCAAAUGAUCAUAAAUCUAAGCAUGUCAACUCUUAAAUUAUAUAUAUACAUACAAAUUUGAUAUUCACUCUUCGACAAAAUAGUAACCGGUGACAAUAAAUAUGAAGUUACCACAUUAGCUAUAUAAGGUGCCUAUGGCCCCAUUUUUCUUUGAGUAGUUUUAUUAUUAUUUAUUUACUUAAUAUAUGUGCAUAUAUUAAAGCUAACCAUCCCAUAUGUUUACAUAUAUAUUUUUAUUUAUUUGACAUUCACCCUCACAAUACGUAUACAUCAUUAUGAAAUGAAACAGAGAUGGGACCUAUGACAGUGGAAGGUAGAACAUGUGAGACCAAAAGUAGUGAAUACAAGGGGAUAUGCUUAUUUGAUGCUAAUUGUGAUAGUAUUUGCAAAGUAGAGCCAGGUUUCGAUGGUGGGCAUUGCCAUGGCUUCUUUCGCAGAUGCUAUUGCACUAAACCUUGUUAGAUGAGCAAUCUAUUAAGAUUUCAUUAUACUUAAAAGAUUGCCUCAUUUCCGCUUGUUAUGUGUGUGCUUGAGAGUUGAGAGAAUAAGAUCAACAACAUAUUGGUGUACAUUGAAUUAUAUUACUAUUAAAUAUAUCUAUAAUUUUUAUGGAUUUGUGCGACCUUGAUCGGUGCUGGCAUAAAAGUUGCUUCAGCGAAUCAUCAUUUAUUGUCAAUCAGUAUUCACAACAAAGGUUUCCAUAAAGGUUAAUGUUGGGCCAUCAAAGAGGUUGUCAAUCAAAUUUUGUCCAAACGGAUUCACAAAAUAGAAUCAUAAUUAUAAAGAGAUAAUAUAAUGGAGAAUAAGAUUAGAGUAGCUCCAUGUGUAAAUUAAUGACUUGGAUUAUGAAAGGGAGACGCGUGGAGAAGAAAUGAAGAAGAAGAAUAAGAGUGGAAAAUAAAGAAAUAAAAAAGGAAAAGAGAGUAGGGAAGUUAAAUUAAAUGAAAAUUAAAAAAAAAGACUGCUCAUGAAGAAAAAUGAUAGAGAUUACUGUAUAAUUUAAUCUAAAAUUUUCAUUUAAAAUAAUGAUUUAACGUGUCAUAUUCACUUGCUAUUACUUCGUUAACAACUCAUUAAAAAAAUACAAUAAAUUAAUACUAUUAAUGACUCUAUCGUAAUUUUUUAAUAUUUAAUGUUCAAAUUAUAAUUUGAACCAUACAUAAUUGAUUAAAUAUAUAGUCUACCCAAAGAUUUAUGGUAAGUAUAAUAAUAUUCUUAUUCAAUUUUUAUAAAAGUUUUAUUUUUUUGACAAUCUAAUUAGAGAUCUCAUUUUAAAUUGUGAUUUCUCAAAUUAAUAUUUUUUUUUGCUUAAUUUGCUACCUAUGUUUAUAAUGAUUAUUUUGAAAUUUGAAUUUGUCAAUUUUCUAAUUUAAUAUCUAAUCUUUUUUUUAUCAAAUUUAGUUCUCAAAACUUGGCAUUUUUCUAAUUUGACUUUUAAUUGUUUUAUCUAAUUUAAUAUUUAAACUCAAAAUUUAUAUAAAUUACUCCAAUAAAAUUCUUAUCUUUAAAUGUUUCUGCAAAUAGUUGAUGUAUUUAAUGUUUAAAUGCAUCAAAUUUUUAAAAUCUUAGAUUUACUUAUUGAAUUUCAUGCAUGCUAAAUUGCUAUCAUUUAGAGUUUAAACUUGCAAAAUACUAUACGUGCAAGCUUUACACCUAGAACAUCUUUUUGGAGGAAAAUAGGUAGAAAAGUCAACAAUCUAUAGGAGGAUGGGAUCUUGAGGAAAAUGGAUGCAGGAAGAAGGAGCGGUGAUGAUAAACACAAGGAAAGUAAAAAAAAAAUGCUCAAUUGGUCGAAGGUGAUGUGCAGGACAAAGCAAGAGCGAGAGCAUUGGAACACAAUGAAUAUGUCUGUGCUGAGACGCGGAGGGGAAAACUUGAACUCAAACAUUCUUGAAGAUAUGGAAGUGAUCGACAGUAGAUUUGAGAAUGAAAAUAUCCAUUGGUUGGAACGCAGCUUGGUAGGGUGAACUGUGGAAUACAAAGCAUUGCAAGAAAUAGCUAGAAUUAUGACUGAGAUGAUUGACUUGCUUUGCAUGCUUGGAACCUUGGGACUUUUUAGAACAUAGCUCAUAAGUAUGGUGAGUGGUUAGGAGUUGACUUAAACACGAGAAGCUUUAACACUUUUGUGAGGGGUAAUAUCCAUGUUCUAAUAAAUCAGAUUUACAAGGUUAUAGUCAGGGAAGCAGAGCCAAUUGUUAUGGUUAACCAAUGUGAUUGUGUGAAGAAAAACAAGGAUUUGGCCGAAGGAGAAGAUGAAACAAGCUCAGAAGCAAACGCUCCAAGUGAGGAAACUUCUAGCGGUAACCACCUUUCUGUAACAGAUGAAUGUGAACAGUCAAUUAGAAGGAGAGUGAAUGUGGAAGAUGAUGAUGACGUGGAAAAAACCAAUCUCUCAUUCAAUUUAGAAACUUUAAACUAUAACUUCACAUAAUCUAACUAAGUUAAUCCCUCUUCCCCACUAACUAUAUAUUCCUAUGCUAGGCAAGUUGGGUGAAGUCACUAAGAACAAACUUAUUGGGUCGAUUAGGGCAUCAAGUAUAUUCUUAUUCUAGCUGCAAAUUAACUUGUUCGUUAGUGCUACUAAAGUUAAUUAUAAUCUAUUCAGUUUAGAUCUAAAUCAUAAUUUUCUUUUCUAAGACAAAUCAAGAUUAUCAAAUUAAUGCAACUUGGUGAUCAAGUAUGUAGAUUAAAUAAGCAUAUAAUUGAAUCAAUAAUUAGCAAAGAUCGAAAAACUCAAAGAGAAAAUAAUUUAAUUAACUAAAAAAUAGGAUCUAUUAUUGUUCCAAGAAAAUAGAGUUUAGUUCAUACUAAGUUGAAAAAACCACACAAAAAGAUAUUUAGAACAGACUUUCAUACAAAAAAAAAGUAAAAAAUAAUCUAGAGAUAAAAAUAGUAAUAGAAUUUAUGUCGAGCAUCCAUAUAUCUUUUUCUUCUUGUUUUUUUCAAGCUUAAAGUUCCCCUUAAUGUGAGAGAGUUGAUUUUUAGCCUCCAAGUGAUUUCUUCUUUUCCUCCUUCCUUUUCUCUUAAAUCUCAUCACCAUUAUUUUAGGGUUUUAAUUGAACCGCUUCACUGCACGCAAAAUUAUACUAAAAUAACUCUAAAUAUGAGGGUUAUUAUGGUGUCAACUACAACAACAUAAUGAACAUUUUCAGCUACGAAAAUCGUGAAGAUAAUGCUUUGAAAUAAAAUGAAAGAUGAUUUUCUUCCGAGUUACUUGAUGGCAUACAUCGAGAAGGACAUUGCUCGACAAUUUUCAAUCAAUUCUUUCAUUGAUGACUUCAAUUUAAUGAAAAAUCAAAGAAUUCAACUUAGGAUGUUCAACUUUAAGAAAUAGUGUUAUAUAUUAAGUUACUUUGAUUUAUGUUUUCUUUUAAGUAGACUAUAUUAACAUUUAAAAAGUAAUAAAUUAAGAUUAUACUUAUGUUUCGCCCCCUUGGAAUCAAAUCCUAAAUCCAUCCAUGGUGGGUUUUUUAUAUAUAAUAAAAAAGAAAGAAAAGAAAAGACACAAAGCAGUAAAAAAUAUAGUCAAAAUGUUAAGCUAAACUUAACGUCAAUGGGUGUCAAGAUUCGUUUAAAUAAAUAAAACAAAACCUGACACCCAUGAGUAUUGAGAUCCUAAUUAAAAUUUGUCUAUUAACAUUCUCUUUCCUCAUCUCUGGAUCUUGAGGAAAUUCAUUAAUAAAAAGCCUAUACUAAACUCGCACCUAUGGAUGUCGAGAUACUCCAAAAAGUAAAAUUUUGGAAAAUAAAUUUUAUAGAAGCUUAGUUUGGGAAACAAUAAAAAAAAUCCCUAUAUCCAAGUUUGAAAAAAAUUUGAAUAACUAUUAUCAGAAUAAAAGAAAUGGUAAACUACAAAAAUAGUCACUUUUGUUUACAUCAGGUUACAUUUUAGUCACUUAUGUUUAAAAUAUUACGUUUUAGUCACUUAUGUUAUUAUUUUGUUACGAAGUGAUCACUCUUCCAGUAAGUUCUGUUAUCUCACUAACGGUAAUCUUACGUGGCAGUCUAACUAGAUUUUAAGUGCCAACUUAAAUUUCCUAAUAGGAUGAGAAUAAAUUUUUAAUUAAAUAAAUUUAAUUAAUUAAAAAUUUUAAACCCUAAAUCUUAGUUAAAAAAAUUCAUCUCCCCUUUUUUUUUAGUUUUCUUUUUCAGGAUACCCUUCCUUGGAACUACUGUGACUGUGUUCCUCCUCAUGCCCGGUUGUUUCAGAUGUUAAAAAAAUCAGAACUUGAACUACUUUCCCUACCCUUGUCUUCAAGCAACUCGGCAAAUAUUCCCAUUUGAACCCCAUUCUCACUAAAGCUUUCAUUUUUCUCUUUAAUGAGUCCUCCUUUCUCAACCAAACCCUCCAUUUCAAUUUGCUGUUCUUCAAAAGGACCAGGUGAAGGACAAAACAGAGUGAUUUACUAUCAUACCACUAUACUCUAACCUCUGUGAGCAACACACAUUGGACUCCAUAGCUUUGUAACACAAGCUUCUAAAAGAUUUUGAAACCCAAAAGCUCUUAGCUUUUAGCUUUGGCGCAGGCAUUCAAAGCUUCAACUGGUGAUAUUGUUGUUGUUGCUGCUGUUUGGUAGAGCUAUUUACUCUUGGUUGGUGAAAGCUCCUCCAUCCAUAAGGUCGCCAACAUGUCUACUUCAAUGGGGUAAAGUGGAAGCAAAAAAAAAAAAAAAAUGCAGAGAAAUUUGGUGUGGGGUUUUCCUUCUUUUUCCUUUUAUCUUUUUUUAUGUUACAGAAAAAAGGCAGAAGCUUUAUGUUCUUAAAUAUAUGGAGUCAAGCUGAUGAUUACUGAGGCCUGCUCAAAGACAUGACUGCUUUCUUAGUCAACCGAAAAAUAAAACUAAAAAAAGGAAGAUAGAACGGUUUUUUAAUUAAGAUUUAAGGUUUAAAAUUUUUAAUUAAUUAAAUUUAUUUAAUUAAAAAUCUAUUCUUAUCUUAUUAGAAAAUUUAAGUUGACACUUAAAAUUUAGUUUGACUGUCAUAUAGGAUUACCGUUAAUGAGAUAACAGAACUUAACGGAAGAGUGAUCACUUCGUAACAAAAUAAUAACAUAAGUGACUAAAACGUAACAUUUCAAACAUAAGUGACUAAAAUGUAAUCUGAGGCAAAUAAAAGUGACUAUUUUUGUAGUUUACCCUAAAAGAAAAUACGAAGCAUAAUAAAUUAUUAAUUGAAAUAUCUUCGAUCCUAAAAUGAAAUAAAUUUAAACAGAAUUUACAUAUUUUUAGAUUUAAGCAAUCCCUUUUUCUCGAUAACUACCUCAACACUAACCCUUAUAUAAACCCAUCCCAUUGUUUUAUUUUCACUGCAUUAACAUCUCUCUCUCUUUCAAUUAAUAAAUUCCAAAUGGAUCGUUCAGUUCUAGUUGCUUUUCUUCUUUUAUCAUUUCUUCUAGCCACAGGUUUUCCUUUAACCUUUUUCAAGUUAUUGUCUUUUCAAUUAAUUUCUUGAUUUCUCAUGAUAUCAUAAAAUAUUUGUAUUUAACUCAUUCAACUAGGCAUCACAUAAUGGAAUAUUUAGAGAAAAGAUGUUAAAUGUACCAUGCUUUAUGUAUAUUUCUUUAAAGAAAAAAAAAUGUGUUUUCGUAUUUAACAUUGACUCUUUUGAAUAACAUGUUCUUUGAUUUUCUUGCAUUUAUUUGUUAUGAUGCAAUCGUGUGAAACGAAAUAGGGAUGGGGCCUAUGUCAGCGGAGGCUAAAACAUGCGAGGCUGAAAGCGGUAAAUUCAAGGGGAUGUGCAUGAGUUCUACCAACUGUGCUAGUGUUUGCAAAUCAGAGCCUGGUUUUGAUGGUGGACAUUGCCAAGGCUUUCGUCGCCGAUGCUUGUGCACUAAGCCUUGUUAGAUCAACAAUCUAUUAUAUUUCAUUGUCACGAAGAUUGCCUUUUUUUACUUAUCAUGCAUUAUAUGCUCCAACAUGUUUUGUAAACCAGUAAUUUUAUUAUUAGAAUUAAAUUAAUCUUUAUGAUGUUUAUAUUGCACAAAAAAUAUUAAUAUUGAUGGUCAAAAAAAAUUCUCAAGAUUAAUUUUAAAAUAUUUUAUUUUAGUAAAAAAUAAACAUAUUAUAUGGAUUGAAUUUUAAUUCGAUUGACAUAGUAAUCCCAUCACCAUUAGACAUUAGAUCUCCUUAUCAACCCAAAUUUCACUAUUUUCCUCACUACAAUAAGGGGCAUAAAUGGCUGCCACAACUGAUACAAAUUAACACCUCUGCCAUAUAAUAGUAAUAAUCCCAAUACAUUUAAUAUCCUAUCAUCAUCACCCUUCCCCUCAUUAGCCCCAACCGACAGUACUAAAUCCUUAAAUGCUUGGAGAAUUCUAUCCACCUCUUUGGUACCAUCUUCCUUAUCACCACUGAAUGUAUCCAUGGAAGAAUUCAUAUCUGUAUCACAGCCACAGUAUUGAUUAAUCACACUGGAUCGAAUUCAUUAACAUAGACACUGUACCGCUCAUUCCCAACUUGAAGUUGAAUAAUCUCAUCAAUACGAUAAGAACAAUUUGUUAUAAUUUGUAUAUUGGCUUUCAUAAAAGAACUAGGUCGCAAAGUCCCUUCAUCAACAGAGACGAAUUCAUCCCACCUUGCCUAACUAUUCUGGAAUGUAAAAACAUUCCAAGCAUGAAUAGGAACGCCCCUACAGGCAAGCUACACUCUUCGACUCUCUACCUUAAUUUUAUCCGACCACCACUGCUUAUGCAUGAAGCAACUAUCUAGGAUGGCCCACUGAUUUGCUUUGACAAACUCCAACAUCUCCACACUCUCGAACACCACCAGGAUCAUAGACCCAGAUAGUCUCAUAAUCGUUGCUCCCCUAAUACCCUUUUCAUAAAUAUCUUUCUCUAGCUCAUCAAUCCUAUAGAAACGUCUGCAACACCAAGUCAUACUUCUAUGCAAAACAUGAAGUUUCUCCACAUCUAUCACACCUGGAAUGAUCUUUUCAUCGUCCGCUAUAACCUUCUCCCUGGACUCUUCUUCCGUAUGGAUGGAGUUCUCUUGAGAGCUUAACUCCUUUAAGACCUGUUUCUUUCUCUAGAACGAUGAACAAGUUUUGAAUCUCACCAAGUUAACAAUGAGUCAAUGAUUAAACAUUCAAAACUCAUCCAUUCUAUCAAUGGUCCUUCUCGCAUCCUCCAUUGAAGCGUACCUGAUGAAACUAAAUCUUUUUCCUGAUCUACUCUUUUUGCGUGGCAUGAAAGCAUCCAACACCUUUCCAUGAUAUCCAAACAAUUGCUUCAGCCAACGCCAAUUCAUCUCAUCCGGGAGAUUACUAACAAAGACCGUAACACAGCCCAUCGUCUCUAAGAUCAUCCAUAUAGUUUUAUCUCACUUCCUUUACCGCCUCCUGUUCCUUUCCUAUUUAGUUCAUGCUUUUGGCUGAGUUUCAGUGACUCGUUCUUUAGCUUAGCUUUGUUGCAGGUAUUAGAGGUUGGCUUUCUUGACAGUCCUGUCAUUGUCCAUUAAUAUGCUACUAUUUUUCAUUGACCCAACGAGAUAACUCAGAGUCAACUCCAUCCUACCCAAAUAAUAUUUGAUACACAUUUUACUCUUCAAUUAAAUCUAAACAUAUAUCUUAUCACUAGUCUCACAUGUUCGCUCCAUUAAUUAGUACAAAAUGGACUCUCCGUUCAGUUUCAAUUGCUGUUCUACUCCUGUUGGUACUUCUAGUAACAGGUAAUUCGAAUAGAUGUAUAUUUAUAUUUAAUAUUCACUUAUUCGAAUAAUAUAUAUAUUGCGUGGUUUGAUGAUAAAAUUACGUGAAAUGAAAUAGAGAUGGUACCUAUUGCUGCAAGCACUAAAUUCAAAGGCAUGUGCCUUAGUUUUGCUAACUGUGCUAAUAUUUGCGAGGGGGUGCCAGGUUUCAUCGGUGGACAUUGCCAAAGCUUCCCUUGUCAAUGUUUUUGUACCAAGUCUUGUUAGAUGUGCAACCCAUUAUAUUCCAUUGUGCUGUGUGCUUGAGAGUUGGAGAGUAUUAAGAUGUCUUCAACAUAUUUUGUAUAUGAAUUUUUUAUAUUAAUAAUAAAUGAUCUUUUAUAAUGUUUUUGUUGCAAUUGUAUACACACACUUGUAUAUGAAUUUAUAUUUAAUAUUAAAUGAUCUUUUAUGUGUUUGUUUGUUUGAUCUUCGGUUUGUUGGAUUCCUUUACCGAUUUUAAAAUUGUAUGGAUCGGCCAUACGAGUAAUAGAGUUGCGGAUUGCAUUUGUAAACUUGCAUUAAAUAAAUGUUGUACCCUUUCUUUCAACAUGGAGCAUCUUUACGAUAUCCAUGACUUUGAAAUUGUUGAUUCUUGUUAAUAUGAGGUAGUGAUUUUCGUGCCCAUUUUAUAAAAAAAAAAAAAUUCAAACACAUACUCAUCUAAUAAAAUUUUCAUUUUUGUUUAAAAAUUAAAUUAUAUUUUUUUAUUUAAAUAUCAUAUUACUAGUUACAUAUUCAUCCUAAUCACCAAUUCUUAUUUAUAAGCUAAAAGUGUCCACGAUUAGGUUAAGGGCUUCUGUACAUUAAACAUAGUAACAUAUUAAAUUUUAUUGUAUAAAAAUGUAUUAAUUUUAAUCUAAUUUGACAUUUUAAUAAUAAAUAUAAAAUAAAUAAACUUAAAUAAUUAUAUAAAAUAUUCAACAAAAUUUAAAAAACCAAAAGAAAAAACCCGCAAUAUAUAGGCUAAGUUGUUGUGUUGUAAAUGAAAGUGAUUUAAGACCACUAGAAAAAUAACAAAUUGGGAUUCAUCCUUUUUUCUCGAUAACUACUACGAUCUCAAUGCUUAUAUAAAUGUAUCUUAAUGAUAUGCUUUCAUUGCAUCAAAAACUCUCAAUCUCUCUCUCUCACACAUAUUCACACUUUUUAUAAUAUUUAAAAUGGAGAAAUCUUCCCGUUCAGUGUCAUCUUUAGUCCUUCUUAUGUUGGUUCUCCUAGCAACAGGUUUUUUCUUUAAUUUUUUUAAAUUUUUGUCAUUUAAUUUAUUUUUAAUUCACUACAAAUUCAAAUUUUUCAUACAAAAUAUUUAUAUUUAACGUGUUCAAAUGAUCAUAAAUCUAAGCAUGUCAACUCUUAAAUUAUAUAUAUACAUACAAAUUUGAUAUUCACUCUUCGACAAAAUAGUAACCGGUGACAAUAAAUAUGAAGUUACCACAUUAGCUAUAUAAGGUGCCUAUGGCCCCAUUUUUCUUUGAGUAGUUUUAUUAUUAUUUAUUUACUUAAUAUAUGUGCAUAUAUUAAAGCUAACCAUCCCAUAUGUUUACAUAUAUAUUUUUAUUUAUUUGACAUUCACCCUCACAAUACGUAUACAUCAUUAUGAAAUGAAACAGAGAUGGGACCUAUGACAGUGGAAGGUAGAACAUGUGAGACCAAAAGUAGUGAAUACAAGGGGAUAUGCUUAUUUGAUGCUAAUUGUGAUAGUAUUUGCAAAGUAGAGCCAGGUUUCGAUGGUGGGCAUUGCCAUGGCUUCUUUCGCAGAUGCUAUUGCACUAAACCUUGUUAGAUGAGCAAUCUAUUAAGAUUUCAUUAUACUUAAAAGAUUGCCUCAUUUCCGCUUGUUAUGUGUGUGCUUGAGAGUUGAGAGAAUAAGAUCAACAACAUAUUGGUGUACAUUGAAUUAUAUUACUAUUAAAUAUAUCUAUAAUUUUUAUGGAUUUGUGCGACCUUGAUCGGUGCUGGCAUAAAAGUUGCUUCAGCGAAUCAUCAUUUAUUGUCAAUCAGUAUUCACAACAAAGGUUUCCAUAAAGGUUAAUGUUGGGCCAUCAAAGAGGUUGUCAAUCAAAUUUUGUCCAAACGGAUUCACAAAAUAGAAUCAUAAUUAUAAAGAGAUAAUAUAAUGGAGAAUAAGAUUAGAGUAGCUCCAUGUGUAAAUUAAUGACUUGGAUUAUGAAAGGGAGACGCGUGGAGAAGAAAUGAAGAAGAAGAAUAAGAGUGGAAAAUAAAGAAAUAAAAAAGGAAAAGAGAGUAGGGAAGUUAAAUUAAAUGAAAAUUAAAAAAAAAGACUGCUCAUGAAGAAAAAUGAUAGAGAUUACUGUAUAAUUUAAUCUAAAAUUUUCAUUUAAAAUAAUGAUUUAACGUGUCAUAUUCACUUGCUAUUACUUCGUUAACAACUCAUUAAAAAAAUACAAUAAAUUAAUACUAUUAAUGACUCUAUCGUAAUUUUUUAAUAUUUAAUGUUCAAAUUAUAAUUUGAACCAUACAUAAUUGAUUAAAUAUAUAGUCUACCCAAAGAUUUAUGGUAAGUAUAAUAAUAUUCUUAUUCAAUUUUUAUAAAAGUUUUAUUUUUUUGACAAUCUAAUUAGAGAUCUCAUUUUAAAUUGUGAUUUCUCAAAUUAAUAUUUUUUUUUGCUUAAUUUGCUACCUAUGUUUAUAAUGAUUAUUUUGAAAUUUGAAUUUGUCAAUUUUCUAAUUUAAUAUCUAAUCUUUUUUUUUAUCAAAUUUAGUUCUCAAAACUUGGCAUUUUUCUAAUUUGACUUUUAAUUGUUUUAUCUAAUUUAAUAUUUAAACUCAAAAUUUAUAUAAAUUACUCCAAUAAAAUUCUUAUCUUUAAAUGUUUCUGCAAAUAGUUGAUGUAUUUAAUGUUUAAAUGCAUCAAAUUUUUAAAAUCUUAGAUUUACUUAUUGAAUUUCAUGCAUGCUAAAUUGCUAUCAUUUAGAGUUUAAACUUGCAAAAUACUAUACGUGCAAGCUUUACACCUAGAACAUCUUUUUGGAGGAAAAUAGGUAGAAAAGUCAACAAUCUAUAGGAGGAUGGGAUCUUGAGGAAAAUGGAUGCAGGAAGAAGGAGCGGUGAUGAUAAACACAAGGAAAGUAAAAAAAAAAUGCUCAAUUGGUCGAAGGUGAUGUGCAGGACAAAGCAAGAGCGAGAGCAUUGGAACACAAUGAAUAUGUCUGUGCUGAGACGCGGAGGGGAAAACUUGAACUCAAACAUUCUUGAAGAUAUGGAAGUGAUCGACAGUAGAUUUGAGAAUGAAAAUAUCCAUUGGUUGGAACGCAGCUUGGUAGGGUGAACUGUGGAAUACAAAGCAUUGCAAGAAAUAGCUAGAAUUAUGACUGAGAUGAUUGACUUGCUUUGCAUGCUUGGAACCUUGGGACUUUUUAGAACAUAGCUCAUAAGUAUGGUGAGUGGUUAGGAGUUGACUUAAACACGAGAAGCUUUAACACUUUUGUGAGGGGUAAUAUCCAUGUUCUAAUAAAUCAGAUUUACAAGGUUAUAGUCAGGGAAGCAGAGCCAAUUGUUAUGGUUAACCAAUGUGAUUGUGUGAAGAAAAACAAGGAUUUGGCCGAAGGAGAAGAUGAAACAAGCUCAGAAGCAAACGCUCCAAGUGAGGAAACUUCUAGCGGUAACCACCUUUCUGUAACAGAUGAAUGUGAACAGUCAAUUAGAAGGAGAGUGAAUGUGGAAGAUGAUGAUGACGUGGAAAAAACCAAUCUCUCAUUCAAUUUAGAAACUUUAAACUAUAACUUCACAUAAUCUAACUAAGUUAAUCCCUCUUCCCCACUAACUAUAUAUUCCUAUGCUAGGCAAGUUGGGUGAAGUCACUAAGAACAAACUUAUUGGGUCGAUUAGGGCAUCAAGUAUAUUCUUAUUCUAGCUGCAAAUUAACUUGUUCGUUAGUGCUACUAAAGUUAAUUAUAAUCUAUUCAGUUUAGAUCUAAAUCAUAAUUUUCUUUUCUAAGACAAAUCAAGAUUAUCAAAUUAAUGCAACUUGGUGAUCAAGUAUGUAGAUUAAAUAAGCAUAUAAUUGAAUCAAUAAUUAGCAAAGAUCGAAAAACUCAAAGAGAAAAUAAUUUAAUUAACUAAAAAAUAGGAUCUAUUAUUGUUCCAAGAAAAUAGAGUUUAGUUCAUACUAAGUUGAAAAAACCACACAAAAAGAUAUUUAGAACAGACUUUCAUACAAAAAAAAAGUAAAAAAUAAUCUAGAGAUAAAAAUAGUAAUAGAAUUUAUGUCGAGCAUCCAUAUAUCUUUUUCUUCUUGUUUUUUUCAAGCUUAAAGUUCCCCUUAAUGUGAGAGAGUUGAUUUUUAGCCUCCAAGUGAUUUCUUCUUUUCCUCCUUCCUUUUCUCUUAAAUCUCAUCACCAUUAUUUUAGGGUUUUAAUUGAACCGCUUCACUGCACGCAAAAUUAUACUAAAAUAACUCUAAAUAUGAGGGUUAUUAUGGUGUCAACUACAACAACAUAAUGAACAUUUUCAGCUACGAAAAUCGUGAAGAUAAUGCUUUGAAAUAAAAUGAAAGAUGAUUUUCUUCCGAGUUACUUGAUGGCAUACAUCGAGAAGGACAUUGCUCGACAAUUUUCAAUCAAUUCUUUCAUUGAUGACUUCAAUUUAAUGAAAAAUCAAAGAAUUCAACUUAGGAUGUUCAACUUUAAGAAAUAGUGUUAUAUAUUAAGUUACUUUGAUUUAUGUUUUCUUUUAAGUAGACUAUAUUAACAUUUAAAAAGUAAUAAAUUAAGAUUAUACUUAUGUUUCGCCCCCUUGGAAUCAAAUCCUAAAUCCAUCCAUGGUGGGUUUUUUAUAUAUAAUAAAAAAGAAAGAAAAGAAAAGACACAAAGCAGUAAAAAAUAUAGUCAAAAUGUUAAGCUAAACUUAACGUCAAUGGGUGUCAAGAUUCGUUUAAAUAAAUAAAACAAAACCUGACACCCAUGAGUAUUGAGAUCCUAAUUAAAAUUUGUCUAUUAACAUUCUCUUUCCUCAUCUCUGGAUCUUGAGGAAAUUCAUUAAUAAAAAGCCUAUACUAAACUCGCACCUAUGGAUGUCGAGAUACUCCAAAAAGUAAAAUUUUGGAAAAUAAAUUUUAUAGAAGCUUAGUUUGGGAAACAAUAAAAAAAAUCCCUAUAUCCAAGUUUGAAAAAAAUUUGAAUAACUAUUAUCAGAAUAAAAGAAAUGGUAAACUACAAAAAUAGUCACUUUUGUUUACAUCAGGUUACAUUUUAGUCACUUAUGUUUAAAAUAUUACGUUUUAGUCACUUAUGUUAUUAUUUUGUUACGAAGUGAUCACUCUUCCAGUAAGUUCUGUUAUCUCACUAACGGUAAUCUUACGUGGCAGUCUAACUAGAUUUUAAGUGCCAACUUAAAUUUCCUAAUAGGAUGAGAAUAAAUUUUUAAUUAAAUAAAUUUAAUUAAUUAAAAAUUUUAAACCCUAAAUCUUAGUUAAAAAAAUUCAUCUCCCCUUUUUUUUUAGUUUUCUUUUUCAGGAUACCCUUCCUUGGAACUACUGUGACUGUGUUCCUCCUCAUGCCCGGUUGUUUCAGAUGUUAAAAAAAUCAGAACUUGAACUACUUUCCCUACCCUUGUCUUCAAGCAACUCGGCAAAUAUUCCCAUUUGAACCCCAUUCUCACUAAAGCUUUCAUUUUUCUCUUUAAUGAGUCCUCCUUUCUCAACCAAACCCUCCAUUUCAAUUUGCUGUUCUUCAAAAGGACCAGGUGAAGGACAAAACAGAGUGAUUUACUAUCAUACCACUAUACUCUAACCUCUGUGAGCAACACACAUUGGACUCCAUAGCUUUGUAACACAAGCUUCUAAAAGAUUUUGAAACCCAAAAGCUCUUAGCUUUUAGCUUUGGCGCAGGCAUUCAAAGCUUCAACUGGUGAUAUUGUUGUUGUUGCUGCUGUUUGGUAGAGCUAUUUACUCUUGGUUGGUGAAAGCUCCUCCAUCCAUAAGGUCGCCAACAUGUCUACUUCAAUGGGGUAAAGUGGAAGCAAAAAAAAAAAAAAAAUGCAGAGAAAUUUGGUGUGGGGUUUUCCUUCUUUUUCCUUUUAUCUUUUUUUAUGUUACAGAAAAAAGGCAGAAGCUUUAUGUUCUUAAAUAUAUGGAGUCAAGCUGAUGAUUACUGAGGCCUGCUCAAAGACAUGACUGCUUUCUUAGUCAACCGAAAAAUAAAACUAAAAAAAGGAAGAUAGAACGGUUUUUUAAUUAAGAUUUAAGGUUUAAAAUUUUUAAUUAAUUAAAUUUAUUUAAUUAAAAAUCUAUUCUUAUCUUAUUAGAAAAUUUAAGUUGACACUUAAAAUUUAGUUUGACUGUCAUAUAGGAUUACCGUUAAUGAGAUAACAGAACUUAACGGAAGAGUGAUCACUUCGUAACAAAAUAAUAACAUAAGUGACUAAAACGUAACAUUUCAAACAUAAGUGACUAAAAUGUAAUCUGAGGCAAAUAAAAGUGACUAUUUUUGUAGUUUACCCUAAAAGAAAAUACGAAGCAUAAUAAAUUAUUAAUUGAAAUAUCUUCGAUCCUAAAAUGAAAUAAAUUUAAACAGAAUUUACAUAUUUUUAGAUUUAAGCAAUCCCUUUUUCUCGAUAACUACCUCAACACUAACCCUUAUAUAAACCCAUCCCAUUGUUUUAUUUUCACUGCAUUAACAUCUCUCUCUCUUUCAAUUAAUAAAUUCCAAAUGGAUCGUUCAGUUCUAGUUGCUUUUCUUCUUUUAUCAUUUCUUCUAGCCACAGGUUUUCCUUUAACCUUUUUCAAGUUAUUGUCUUUUCAAUUAAUUUCUUGAUUUCUCAUGAUAUCAUAAAAUAUUUGUAUUUAACUCAUUCAACUAGGCAUCACAUAAUGGAAUAUUUAGAGAAAAGAUGUUAAAUGUACCAUGCUUUAUGUAUAUUUCUUUAAAGAAAAAAAAAUGUGUUUUCGUAUUUAACAUUGACUCUUUUGAAUAACAUGUUCUUUGAUUUUCUUGCAUUUAUUUGUUAUGAUGCAAUCGUGUGAAACGAAAUAGGGAUGGGGCCUAUGUCAGCGGAGGCUAAAACAUGCGAGGCUGAAAGCGGUAAAUUCAAGGGGAUGUGCAUGAGUUCUACCAACUGUGCUAGUGUUUGCAAAUCAGAGCCUGGUUUUGAUGGUGGACAUUGCCAAGGCUUUCGUCGCCGAUGCUUGUGCACUAAGCCUUGUUAAACCACUAAGCUUUGUUAGAUCAGUAAUCUAUUAUAUUUCAUUGUCACCAAGAUGGCCCUUUUUUUUGCUUAUCAUGCAUUAUAUGCUUGAGAGUUGAGAGAAAUAAGACAUCUCCAACUUGUUUUGUAAACCAGUAAAUUUUUUAUUAGAAUUAAAUUAAUCUUUUAUGAUGUUUAUAUUGCACAAAAAAGAUUAAUAUUGAUGGUUAAAAAAACCUCUCAAGAUUAGUUUCAAAAUAUUUCAUUUUGGUCAAAAAUAAACAUAUGAUGUCUGUCGAAACCAUCUUUUUGAAAAAUAAAAGUUUUAAGGUUGUUGACUUUUUAAAAAAAAUUAAAAUUGUGAGUCGCCACCAAUUUUCAUUAGGGUGUGAUUGGAUCACCUAAAAAAAUGGCAUUGGUCUACGAGUUUUAGAAAAACGGAUCUGGGAGUCAGUUACGUAUGAGGAAGGAUUAGCACCCUCGUAACGCCCAAAAUUGGUACCUAGUUAAUUAAUUAGUGUCUUAAGGUCGAGAAUUUGGAAAAAAAACGUAAUUCAUAGCAAAACUUAAAAGGCUACGUAUUAAGACCCUUAUUAUUUCAGAGAAAGAAGAUACCACACCCAAUGCGUUAGGGCACAACAUUCUAAUUUUCCCCCAAAAAUGAAUUGGGCCAAAAUACUUGUACAAUAAAACUUUAAAGGAACACUCACUUAUCCAAGAUUUAAGAAAUCACACCCAAUACGUUAGGGCACGAUUCCUUUAGAAUCUCAAACUCGGAAUAUUUCCUUUACUUUAAAAGAACAUCCACUUAUCCAAGAUUUAAGAAAUCACACCCAAUACGUUAGGGCACAAUUCCUUUAAAAUCCCAAACUCGAAAUAUUUCCUUUAUUGUUUUUAGAAAAAAAUUUCAUUUCGAGAAAUCAAUGCGUCACAUCCAAUACGUUAGGACACAACGUGUUGAAUUCCCAAUAAUGAAUUCUUAUUUUUUGAUUAAAGAGAAACGCUCGAUUGUUAGACUUAACGAAGAAAAUCGGAACCCAAUACGUUAGGGCUCAAUUUCCUUGAAAAUCCUAAAUUCAAGCAUUCUCUCAAUUUUGAAAAGUUUGAAAUCGAGUAAAGAAUGAUGUGAUGCUAUAUUAAAUAUACAAUGCAAUAAUAAAUAUUACAAAGGCCUAGAAAUAAUAUAAAUAAAUGAAUAAAUAAAAUCAAUAUACAUAAUAAAAAUAAUCACAUACAAAAUAUCAAAUAAAUCAUUAAAAACAAUUCUUUUUAACAUAUAAACGAAAACAUGAACUAAUAAUAGAAUGAAGAAAAUAAACAAAAUAUAAAGAAUAAAAGGCACAUAAUAUAUACAUUGAAAUUAAAAGCCAUACACAUAAUUUACAUAUGUAACUUUGGAUUAAAAUUUAUAAAAGCAGAAUAUAUAAUGCAUUUGUGAAAAUAAAAUAUAAAUUAUAAAGUAAGUGUUAAAAAAUACAUAUAUUUGAGCAUUUAAAAAAUAUAUAUAUUCAUAUAUAUAUACAAGUAUAUAAAAAACUGGUUGAAAAUAUUAAUAUGUAUACAUACAUAUAUAUACAAAGAUAAAUAUAACAUAUAUAGAUUAUAAAAAAAAAUAAUUAUAUAUAAAUAAAAUAAAAUAAAAAUAAUUACCUCAUAUUAAAAAAAUAAAUAUGCGAAAAAUAUUAGUUUUUUAAAAAAAUAUAAAUACGCACAUAGAAACAAGUAUACAUAUAUAUAGCUAAAAUAAUAAUAAUAAUUACAUAUGAAAAUAAUAAUAAUAAUUACAUUAAAAAAAUUAACUCAUUUUAAAAAAAUAUAAAAAGGAUUAUAUUGAACUACAAGUAAACAAAUUUGGGGUCAAUCUGCAAAUAAAUAAAAUUUGGAGGACUAAAUUGAACGAGCGAAUUACAUAGAGGGGCUGGAAGGGAAAUUUUCCCUUCUCCUCUAAAACGGUGUCGUUCAAAAGGAUUAAAUUGGAAUUUAAAAUAAACAAAAGGGUAAAUUAAAAAAUAAAGAAAACUUAAUUACAAAAACAUUAAAAGGCGGAGGGGCUAAAUAAAAAAUAAAUAAAAUUCGCAGUGGUAUCACCUUCUCUUUUUUUUUUAAAUCGUGAAUAAGUAAAAAAAAUAAUCGAAAGAAAAAAAUAGUAAGCCACCUUUAAAAAACUGCCAAUCGUUCUUUUUUAUUCCUCCUCAUCUUUCCUCUUUUUCUUUUUUCUACAAUGAAGGGAGAAGCCUCUAUUUAUAGUUGAGUCUCCCCAAAUCAAACGGUACAGAUCAAUUACAUCAACGGCUGAGAUUAAAGGGUAUCUACAAAUUAAAUCUUUAAGAUUACAAAAUCAUAUAUUCUAAGAUUGCAUAUUAUAUCUAAGAUUGCAUAUAUCAUAUUUAAGAUUGCAUAUCAUAUCUAAUAUUGCAUAUCCUCAAAAAUUAUGUUUUCAUAUGUGAACUCAGGCUAAAAUUGAGUAUUACAAUGUUAAUUGAAUCUUAAUUCGAUCGACAUAGUAAGAACUCUCCUUAUUUGCGAACCCCAUCACCAUUAGACAUUAGAUCUCCCGUAUCAACCCAAAUUCCACUAUUUUCCUAACUACAAUAAGGGGCAUAAAUGACUGCCACAACUGAUACAAAUUAACACCUCUGCCAUAUAAUAGUAAUAAUCCCAAUACAUUUAAUAUCCUAUCAUCAUCACCCUUCCCCUCAUUAGCUCCAACCGACAGUACUAAAUCCUUAACUGCUUGGAGAAUUCUAUCCACCUCUUUGGUAACAUCUUCCUUAUCACCACUGAAUGUAUCCAUGGAAGAAUUCAUAUCUGUCUGUAUCACAGCCACAGUAUUGAUUAAUCACACUAGAUCGAAUUCAUUAACAUAGACACUGUACCGCUCAUUCCCAACUUGAAGUUGAAUAAUCUCAUCAAUACGAUAAGAACAAUUUGUUAAUUUUAACUUGUAUAUUGGCUUUCAUAAAAGAACUAGGUUGCACAGUCCCUUAAUCAACAGAGACGAAUUCAUCCCACCUUGCCUAAAUAUUCUGGAAUGUAAAAACAUUCCAAGCAUGAAUAGGAACGCCCCUACAGGCAAGCUACACUCUUCGACUCUCUACCUUAAUUUUAUCCGACCACCACUGCUUAUGCAUGAAGCAACUAUCUAGGAUGUCCCACUGAUUUGCUUUGUCAAACUCCAACAUCUCCACACUCUCGAACACCAUCAGGAUCAUAGACCCAGAUAGUCUCAUAAUCGUUGCUCCCAUAAUAUCCUUUUCAUAAAUAUCUUUCUCUAGCUCAUCAAUCCUAUAGAAACGUCUGCAACACCCAGUCAUACUUCUAUGCAAAACAUGCAGUUUCUCCACAUCUAUCACACCUGGAAUGAUCUUUUCAUCGUACGCUAUAACCUUCUCCCUGGACUCUUCUUCCGUAUGGAUGGAGUUCUCUUGAGAGCUUAACUCUUUAAGACCUGUUUCUUUCUCUAGAACGAUGAACGACUUUUGAAUCUCACCAAGUUAACAAUGAGUCAAUGAUUAAACAUUCAAAACUCGUCCAUUCUAUCAAUGGCCCUUUUCGCAUCCUCCAUACAAGCGUACCUGAUGAAACUAAAUCUUUUUCCUGAUCUACUCUUUUUGCGUGGCAUGAAAGCAUCCAACACUUUCCAUGAUAUCCAAACAAUUGCUUCAGCCAACGCCAAUUUAUCCCAUCCGGGUUAUUACUAACAAAGACCGUAACACAGCCCAUCGUCUCUAAGAUCAUCCAUAUAGUUUUAUCUCACUUCCUUUACCGCCUCCUGUUCUUUUCCUCUUUAGUUCAUGCUUUUGGCUGAGUUUCAGUGACUCGUUCUUUAGCUUAGCUUUGUUGCAGGUAUUAGAGGUUGGCUUUCUUGACAGUCCUGUCAUUGUCCAUUGAUAUGCUACUAUUUUUCAUUGACCCAACGAGUAACCCAGAGUCAGCUCCAUCCUACCCAAAUAAUAUUUGAUACACAUUUUACUCUUCAGUUAAAUCUAAACAUAUAUCUUAUCACUAGACUCACUUGUUCGCUCUAUUAAUUAGUACAAAAUGGACUCUCGUUCAGUUUCAACUGCUGUUCUAUUCCUGUUGGUACUUCAGUAACAGGUAAUUCGAACAGAAUGUAUAUUUAUAUUUAAUAUUCACUUAUUCGAAUAAUAUAUAUAUUGCGUGGUUUGAUGAUAAAAUUACGUGAAAUGAAAUAGAGAUGGUACCUAUUGCUGCAAGCACUAAAUUCAAAGGCAUGUGCCUAAGUUUUGCUAACUGUGCUAAUAUUUGCGAGGGGGUGCCAGGUUUCAUCGGUGGACAUUGCCAAAGCUUCCCUUGUCAAUGUUUUUGUACCAAGUCUUGUUAGAUGUGCAACCUAUUAUAUUCCAUUGUGCUGUGUGCUUGAGAGUUGGAGAGUAUUAAGAUGUCUUCAACAUAUUUUGUAUAUGAAUUUUUUAUAUUAAUAAUUGAUUUUUUAUAAUGUUUUUGUUGCAAUUGUAUACACACAAUUGUAUAUGAAUUUAUAUUUAAUAUUAAAUGAUCUUUUAUGUGUUUGUUUGUCCAUAUAUUGAGAUUUUCGGUUUGUUGGAUUCUUUCACCGAUUUUAAAAUUGUAAGGAUUGGCCAUACGAGUAAUAGAGUUGCAGAUUGCAUUUGUAAACUUGUGUUGAAUAAAUGUUGUACCCUUUCUUUCAACAUGGAGCAUCUUUAAGAUAUCCAUGACUUUGAAAUUGUUGAUUCUUAUUAAUAUGAGGUAGCGACUUUUAUGCCCAUUUUAUAAAAAAAAAAAAGUUUUCAAACACAUACUCAUCUAAUAAAAUUUUUAAUUUUGUUUAAAAAUUAAAUUUAUAUUUUUUUAUUUAAAUAUCAUAUUACUAGUUACAUAUUCAUCCUAAUCACCUAUUCUUAUUUAUAAGCUAAAAGUGUCCACGAUUAGGUUAAGGGUUUCUAUACAUUAAACAUAGUAACAUAUUAAAUUUUAUUGUUUAAAACGUAUUAUAUUGUAAUCUAAUUUGAUUUAUACCAAAUAUCAAAUUAUUAAUUUGAUAUUUUAAUAAUAAAUAUAAAAAAAUAAACUUGAAUAAUUAUAUAAAAUAUUUAACAAAAUUUUAAAAACCAAAAGAAAAAACCCGAAUACAUAGGCUAAGUUGUUGUGGUGUAAAUGAAUGUGAUUUAAGACCACUAGAAAAAUAACAAAUGUGGGAUUCAUCCUUUUUUCUCGAUAACUACUACGAUUUCAAUGCUUAUAUAAAUGUAUCUUAAUGAUAUGCUUUCAUUGCAUCAAAAACUCUCAAUCUCUCUCUCUCUCACACAUAUUCACACUUUUAAUAAUAUUUAAAAUGGAGAAAUCUUCCCGUUCAAUGUCAUCUUUAGUCCUUCUUAUGUUGGUUCUUCUAGCAACAGGUUUUCUCUUAAUUGCUUUUUUAAAUUCUUGUCAUUUAAUUUAUUAUUUAAUUCACUACAAAUUCAAAAUUUUUCAUACAAAAUAUUUGUAUUUAACAUGCUCAAAUGACCAUAAAUCUAAGCAUGUCAACUCUUAAAUUAUAUAUAUACAUACAAAUUUGAUAUUCACUCUUUGACAAAAUAGUAACCAGUAACGAUUAAUAUGAAGUUACCACACUAAGUAUAUAAGGUGCCUAUGGCCCCAUUUUUCUUUAAGUAGUUUUAUUAUUAUUUCUUUAUUUAAUAUAUGUGCAUAUAUUAAAGUUAACUAUCCCAUAUGUUUAAAUAUAUUUUUUAUUUAUUUGACAUUCAUCCUCACAAUACGUAUACAUCAUUAUGAAAUGAAACAGAGAUGGGACCUAUGACAGUGGAAGGUAGAACAUGUGAGACCAAAAGUAGUGAAUACAAGGGGAUAUGCUUAUUUGAUGCUAAUUGUGAUAGUAUCUGCAAAAUAGAGCCAGGUUUCGAUGGUGGGCAUUGCCAUGGCUUCUUUCGCAGAUGCUAUUGCACUAAACCUUGUUAAAUGAACAAUCUAUUAGGAUUUUAUUAUACUUAAAAGAUUGCCUCAUUUCCGCUUGUUAUGUGUGUGCUUGAGAGUUGAGAGAAUAAUACAUAUUGGUGUACAUUGAAUUAUAUUACUAUUAAAUAUAUCUAUAAUUUUU
This 21006-nucleotide long non-coding RNA is filed under the name Gossypium barbadense (sea-island cotton). Its description in RNAcentral is "long non-coding RNA (GBAR_LNC023259)". The record is from RNAcentral. Lineage: Eukaryota; Viridiplantae; Streptophyta; Magnoliopsida; Malvales; Malvaceae.